Molecule: ribosomal RNA, 494 nt
Filed under: uncultured bacterium
Lineage: Bacteria
Description: bacterial SSU rRNA
Rfam family: Bacterial small subunit ribosomal RNA
Source: RNAcentral
AAAUGAAUAGACGGGGACCCGCACAAGCGGUGGAGCAUGUGGUUUAAUUCGAAGCAACGCGAAGAACCUUACCUGCCCUUGACAUCCGGCUGACCGGCGAGUAAUGUCGCCUUUCCUUCGGGACAGCCGAGACAGGUGGUGCAUGGUUGUCGUCAGCUCGUGUCGUGAGAUGUUGGGUUAAGUCCCGCAACGAGCGCAACCCUUAUCUUUAGUAGCCAGCAUUAUGGAUGGGCACUCUAGAGAGACUGCCAGGGAUAACCUGGAGGAAGGUGGGGAUGACGUCAAAUCAUCAUGCCCCUUAUGGGCAGGGCUACACACGUGCUACAAUGGCGUAAACAAAGGGAGGCGAGCCUGCGAAGGUAAGCAAAUCCCAAAAAUAACGUCUCAGUUCGGAUUGUAGUCUGCAACUCGACUACAUGAAGCUGGAAUCGCUAGUAAUCGCGAAUCAGAAUGUCGCGGUGAAUACGUUCCCGGGUCUUGUACACACCGCCCGU